Non-coding RNA from Lactuca sativa (garden lettuce), 894 nucleotides. The record is from RefSeq and is a predicted model, not a curated record. Lineage: Eukaryota; Viridiplantae; Streptophyta; Magnoliopsida; Asterales; Asteraceae.
AGGGAUUUGAGUCCUUUUUUCUUGUUUCUCUUCUGUUUAUAAAUAAACAUUGCCACCGCCAACAGAAACAGUUCCAACAAAUAGAGUAUUGUUCUGCCUACACGAUGUUAUUCUGUUUUAGAUGUGCCAUGGAUGUUCUCUGUCGAUCUCUCUCCUCUGUUUCUUUUCUUAAAAUCACUACUGCCACCUUCUCUUCCCCACCGUCGGAUCCCUAUGAACUAUCUCCUUUAUCGGCGGCUUAUGGUUCAUAUUAGUGGGGAUAGAGGGGGAUUUGAUCAAGCAUAUCAGAUUGUGUUAUUUCACUGCCAUUAGUAACCCCCACCAGAGCACCAUUACAGUUUACCCUUUUCAUUAUCGGCAUCUCUCUUUUUCUCUAAAAAGCCCUAAUUGCCACCACGAAGACCAACUACAUGUAGUUCUUGAUAUGGUUCUACUUGCAACAUAUAUAGAAAUAUUAAGUAGUUUGAAAAUUCUGGUGCUUAUAAUGGUUCCCGUGAAGCCCGCACUACCAUUACCAUCGAGGUCACUCUCACACUAAUCCAUUCAUCUAAUCAUGUCAAGCCCAUGGAUCUUCUUGGCCACUUUUCAUGGCUCAAGAAGUCUUUAAUGAAGCUGGAGUAUGUGGAUUCUCGAAAGGCACUUAUGUGACUUUACUUAUGGUAUGUGUCAUAUGUUUGAUUUGGAAACAUAUUGUAAGGAAACAUCUUUAAAUUUGAUUUGGUUUUUGGAAGGACUGUAUGUAUGAUGAAAGGGGGUUAUUGUUGUGUAAAAUUAGAAAAGAAGGAAUUUAAUAAAUUCUUGGUUUGGCAAAUGCACAUGGACCUGCAUAAUCUGGAGGUAAAUGUUAGUGGUCAAAAAUUCUAUUAAUUAAGGGUAUUUGUAUUUGAUGUCAAA